This 497-nucleotide ribosomal RNA is filed under the name uncultured bacterium. RNAcentral describes it as "partial 16S ribosomal RNA". It matches the Rfam family "Bacterial small subunit ribosomal RNA", at positions 28 to 507 of the family's 1533-position model. The record is from RNAcentral.
GACGAACGCUGGCGGCGUGCCUAAUACAUGCAAGUUGAGCGCUGAAGGUUGGUACUUGUACCGACUGGAUGAGCAGCGAACGGGUGAGUAACGCGUGGGGAAUCUGCCUUUGAGCGGGGGACAACAUUUGGAAACGAAUGCUAAUACCGCAUAAAAACUUUAAACACAAGUUUUAAGUUUGAAAGAUGCAAUUGCAUCACUCAAAGAUGAUCCCGCGUUGUAUUAGCUAGUUGGUGAGGUAAAGGCUCACCAAGGCGAUGAUACAUAGCCGACCUGAGAGGGUGAUCGGCCACAUUGGGACUGAGACACGGCCCAAACUCCUACGGGAGGCAGCAGGAGGGGAUCUUCGGCAAUGGACGAAAGUCUGAACGAGCAACGCCGCGUGAGUGAAGAAGGUUUUCGGAUCGUAAAACUCUGUUGGUAGAGAAGAACGUUGGUGAGAGUGGAAAGCUCAUCAAGUGACGGUAACUACCCAGAAAGGGACGGCUAACUACGUG